This 406-nucleotide ribosomal RNA is filed under the name uncultured bacterium. RNAcentral's name for it is "partial 16S ribosomal RNA". It matches the Rfam family "Bacterial small subunit ribosomal RNA", at positions 30 to 526 of the family's 1533-position model. The record is from RNAcentral.
AUUGAACGCUGACGGCAGGCCUCACACAUGCAAGUCGAACGAGUGGCGGAAGGGUGAGUAAUGUCUGGGAAACUGCCCGAUGGAGGGGGAUAACUACUGGAAACGGUAGCUAAUACCGCAUCCCAUCGGAUGUGCCCCGAUGGGAUUAGGUUGUAGGUGAGGUAACGGCUCACCGAGGCGACGAUCCCUAGCUGGUCUGAGAGGAUGUCCAUGCACACUGAAACGGAGACACGGUCCAGACUCUUACGGGAGUCAGGAUUGGGGAAUAUUGCACAAUGGGCGCAAGCCUUGUGCAGCCAUGCCGCGUGUAUGAAGAAGGCCUUCUGGUUGUAAAGUACUUUCAGCGGGGAGGCGUUACCCUCAGAAGAAGCUCCGGCUAACUCCGUGCCAGCAGCGGCGGUAAUAC